Molecule: long non-coding RNA, 98 nt
Organism: Myotis brandtii (Brandt's bat)
Lineage: Eukaryota; Metazoa; Chordata; Mammalia; Chiroptera; Vespertilionidae
Exons: 3
Source: RefSeq, a predicted model, not a curated record
UGUAUUUGUUUGUUUUUGCAUGAAGUCUAUUUGAGCAAGGGUCUGCUCUUUCUGUACCUCUAGUUCUGAGAGAUUUCUCCAACAGAGACUGACAAUUC